This 1346-nucleotide ribosomal RNA is filed under the name uncultured bacterium. RNAcentral describes it as "bacterial SSU rRNA". It matches the Rfam family "Bacterial small subunit ribosomal RNA", at positions 28 to 1381 of the family's 1533-position model. The record is from RNAcentral.
GAUGAACGCUGGCGGCGUGCCUAAUACAUGCAAGUCGAACGCUUCACUUCGGUGAAGAGUGGCGAACGGGUGAGUAAUACAUAAGUAACCUGGCAUCUACAGGGGGAUAACUGAUGGAAACGUCAGCUAAGACCGCAUAGGUGUAGAGAUCGCAUGAACUCUAUAUGAAAAGUGCUACGGGACUGGUAGAUGAUGGACUUAUGGCGCAUUAGCUUGUUGGUAGGGUAACGGCCUACCAAGGCGACGAUGCGUAGCCGACCUGAGAGGGUGACCGGCCACACUGGGACUGAGACACGGCCCAGACUCCUACGGGAGGCAGCAGUAGGGAAUUUUCGGCAAUGGGGGAAACCCUGACCGAGCAACGCCGCGUGAAGGAAGAAGUAAUUCGUUAUGUAAACUUCUGUCAUAGAGGAAGAACGGUGGAUAUAGGGAAUGAUAUCCAAGUGACGGUACUCUAUAAGAAAGCCACGGCUAACUACGUGCCAGCAGCCGCGGUAAUACGUAGGUGGCGAGCGUUAUCCGGAAAUAUUGGGCGUAAAGAGGGAGCAGGCGGCACUAAGGGUCUGUGGUGAAAGAUCGAAGCUUAACUUCGGUAAGCCAUGGAAACCGUAGAGCUAGAGUGUGUGAGAGGAUCGUGGAAUUCCAUGUGUAGCGGUGAAAUGCGUAGAUAUAUGGAGGAACACCAGUGGCGAAGGCGACGAUCUGGCGCAUAACUGACGCUCAGUCCCGAAAGCGUGGGGAGCAAAUAGGAUUAGAUACCCUAGUAGUCCACGCCGUAAACGAUGAGUACUAAGUGUUGGGUGUCAAAGCUCAGUGCUGCAGUUAACGCAAUAAGUACUCCGCCUGAGUAGUACGUUCGCAAGAAUGAAACUCAAAGGAAUUGACGGGGGCCCGCACAAACGGUGGAGCAUGUGGUUUAAUUCGAAGCAACGCGAAGAACCUUACCAGGUCUUGACAUCGAUCUAAAGGCUCCAGAGAUGGAGAGAUAGCUAUAGAGAAGACAGGUGGUGCAUGGUUGUCGUCAGCUCGUGUCGUGAGAUGUUGGGUUAAGUCCCGCAACGAGCGCAACCCCUGUUGCCAGUUGCCAGCAUUAAGUUGGGGACUCUGGCGAGACUGCCGGUGACAAGCCGGAGGAAGGCGGGGAUGACGUCAAAUCAUCAUGCCCCUUAUGACCUGGGCUACACACGUGCUACAAUGGACAGAGCAGAGGGAAGCGAAGCCGCGAGGUGGAGCGAAACCCAUAAAACUGUUCUCAGUUCGGACUGCAGUCUGCAACUCGACUGCACGAAGAUGGAAUCGCUAGUAAUCGCGAAUCAGCAUGUCGCGGUGAAUACGUUCUCGGGCCU